UUAACUAUUAUAUAGUACUCAGACAUCACUAAAAACAGAGUUUGUUUCCUCUGGCAGGCACGCAUAAGCCGGAGCCCAUGGUGUUUCCACGGCCUGCCAAAGCAACGAAGGUAUAAUAUUCAAGGGUGGGAGAUCUACCCGUGAGGGCAUGAACUCUGUAAUGAUCCUUCCGCAGGUUCACCUACGGAAA
Molecule: unclassified non-coding RNA, 190 nt
Filed under: uncultured fungus
Lineage: Eukaryota; Fungi
Description: sequence contains ITS1, 5.8S rRNA gene
Source: RNAcentral